GAAAUGCGAUAAGUAAUGUGAAUUGCAGAAUUCAGUGAAUCAUCGAAUCUUUGAACGCACAUUGCGCCCGCCAGUAUUCUGGCGGGCAUGCCUGUUCGAGCGUCAUUUCAACCAUCAAGCCCCCGGCUUGUGUUGGGGACCUGCGGCUGCCCGCAGGCCCUGAAAAACAGUGGGGGGCUCGCUGUCACACCGAGCGUAGUAGCAUACAUUCUCGCUCAGGGCGUGCUGCGGGUUCCGGCCGUUAAACGACCUUCAUAACCCAAGGUUGACCUCGGAUCAGGUAGGAAGACCCGCUGAACUUAAGC
RNAcentral lists this unclassified non-coding RNA (305 nucleotides) under plant metagenome. RNAcentral describes it as "partial contains 5.8S ribosomal RNA, internal transcribed spacer 2, and large subunit ribosomal RNA". The stretch from base 1 to 105 matches the Rfam family "5.8S ribosomal RNA", at positions 50 to 154 of the family's 154-position model. The record is from RNAcentral.